Molecule: non-coding RNA, 3027 nt
Organism: Capsicum annuum
Lineage: Eukaryota; Viridiplantae; Streptophyta; Magnoliopsida; Solanales; Solanaceae
Source: Rfam
GUUCAAACAAAAAAAGGCUUACGGUGGUACCUAGGCACCCAGAGACCAGGAAGGGUAUAGUAAUCGACGAAAUGAUUCGGGGAGUUGAAAAUAAGCAUAGAUACGGAGAUUCCCAAAUAGGGAAACCAUUCAAACUACUGCUGAAUCCAUGGGCAGGCAAGAGACAACCUGGUGAACUAAAACAUCUUAGUAGCUAGAGGAAAAGAAAGCAAAAGGGAUUCCCAUAGUAGCAGCGAGCGAAAUGGGAGCAGCUUAAACCAUGAAAAUGGGGUUGUGGGAGAGCAAUACAAGUGUCCUGCUGCUAGGCAAAGCAACCUAAAUGCUGCACCCUAGAUGACGAAAGUCCAGUAGCUGAAAGCAUCACUAGCAUACUCUCUGACCCGAGUAGCAUGGGGCACGUGGAAUCUCGUGUGAAUCAGCAAGGACCACCUUGCAAGGCUAAAUACUCCUGGGUGACCGAUAGCGAAGUAGUGCCAUGAGGGAAGGGUGAAAAGAACCCCCAUCGGGGAGUGAAAUAGAAAAUGAAACCGUAAGCUCCCAAGCAGUGGGAGGAGCCAGGGCUCUGACUGCAUGCCUGUUGAAGAAUGAGACGGCUACUCAUAGGCAGUGGCUUGGUUAAGGAAACCCACUAGAGUCGUACCAAAAGCGAGUCUUCAUAGGAAAAUUGUCACUGCUUAUAGAACCGAACCUGGGUGAUCUAUCCAUGACCAGGAUGAAGCUUGGGUGUAACUAAGUGGAGGUCCAAACCGACUGAUGUUGAAGAAUCAGUUGAUUAGUUGUGGUUAGGGGUGAAAUGCCACUAGAACCCAGAGCUAGCUGGUUCUCCCCGAAAUACGUUGAGGUGCAAUAGUUGACUGGACAUCUAGGGGUAAAGCACUGUUUAUGUGUGGCCUCGAGAGCGGUACCAAAUUGAGUCAAACUGUGAAUACUAGAUAUGGCCUUAAAAUUAAAAAAGAGAGGUCAAAGUCGGCUAGUGAGAUAAUGGGGGAUAAGCUUCAUCAUCGAGAGGGAAACAGCCCGAAUCACCAGCUAAGGCUCCUAAAUGGCCGCUCAGUGAUAAAGGAGGUAGGGGUGCGAAGACAGCCAGGAGGUUUUCCUAGAAGCAUCCACCCUUGAAAGAGUGCGUAAUGGCUCACUGAUCAAGCGCUCUUGCACCGAAGAUGAACGGGGCUAAGCAAUCUACCAAAGCUGUGGGGUGUAAAAAUACAUCGGUAGGGGAGCGUUCCUCCUGAGAGGGAAGCCUCUGCAUGAGCGGUGGUGGAUGAAGCAGAAGCGAGAAUGUCGGCUUGAGUAAUGCAAAUAUUGGUGAGAAUCCAAUGUCCCGAAAACCUAAGGGUUCCUCCGCAAGGUUCGUCCAUGGAGGGUGAGUCAGGGCCUAAGAUCAGGUCGAAAGGUGUAGUCGAUGGACAAUAGGUGAUUAUUCCUGUACUACCCCUUAUUAGUCCCGAGGGACGGAGGAGGCUAGGUUAGCCGAAAUAUGGUUAUCGGUUCAAGAAUGUAAGGUGUCCCUACCAUUUUUUUAGGGUAAGAAGGGGUAGAGAAAAUGCCUCGAGCCAAUGUUCGAAUACCAGGCACUACGCCGCUGAAGUAACCCAUGCCAUACUCCCAGGAAAAGCUCAAACAACUUUGAGCAAGAGGGUAUCUAUAUUCGAAACCGACACAGGUAGGUAGGUAGAGAAUACCUAGGUGCAUGAGACAACUCUCUAUAAGGAACUCAGCAAAAUAACCCCGUAACUUUGGGAGAAGGGGUGCCUCUUCACAUUACAAAGGGGGUCGCAGUGACCAGGCUCGGGCGACUGUUUACCAAAAACAUAGGUCUCCGCAAAGUCGUAAGAUCAUGUAUGGGGGCUGACGCCUACCCAGUGCCAGAAGGUCAAGGAAGCUAGUGACCUGAUGACAGGGGAGCCGGCAACCGAAGCCCCAGUGAAUAGCGGUCAUAACUAUAAUGGUCCUAAGGUAGCAAAUUUCCUUGUCGGGUAAGUUCCGACCCGCACUAAAGGCAUAAUGAUUUGGGCACUGUGUCGAAGAGAGGCUCGGUGAAAUAGACAUGUCUGUGAAGAUGUGGACUUCCUGCACCUAGACUGAAAGACCCUAUGAAGCUUCACUGUUCCUUGGGAUUGGCUUUAGGCCUUUCCUGCGCAUCUUAGGUGGAAGGCAAAGAAGGCCUCCUUCCGGGGGGCCCGAUCCAUCAGUGAGAUACCACUCUGGAAGGGCUAGAAUUCUAACCUUGUGUCAGGACCUACAGGCCAAGGGACAAUCUCAGGUAGACAGUUUCUAUGGGGCGUAGUCCUCCCAAAAGGUAACGGAGGCGUGCAAAGGUUUCCUCGGGCCGGACGGAGAUUGGCCCUCGAGUGCAAAGGCAGAAAGGAACUGGACUACAAGACCCACCCGUUGAGCAGGGAUGAAAGUCGGCCUUAGUGAUCCGACAGUGCCGAGUGGAAGGUCCAUCGCUCAAUAGAUAAAAGUUACUCUAGGGAUAACAGGUUGAUCUUUCCCAAGAGCUCACAUCGACGGGAAGGUUUGGCACCUCGAUGUCGGCUCUUCGCCACCUGGGGCUAUAGUAUGUUCUAAGGGUUCAGUUGUUCACCCGUUAAAGCGGUACAUGAGCUGGGUUCAGAACGUCGUGAGACAGUUUGGUUCGUAUUUGGUAUGGAAGUUUGAGCAUUGAGAGGACCUUUCCCUAGUACGUGAAGAUUGGGAAGGAAGCACCUCUGGUGUACCAGUUAUUGUGCCCACGGUAAAUGCUGGGUAGCCAAGUACAGAGCGGAUAACUGCUGAAAGCAUCUAAGUAGUAAGCCCACCCCAAGAUGAGUGCUCUCCUAUUCCGAAUUCCCCAGAGCUUCUGGUAGCUCAGCCGAGACAGCGACGGGUUCUCUGCCCCUAUGGGGAUGGAGCGACAGAAGUUUUUUUGAGAAUUCAAGAGAAGGUCACGGUGAGAGGAGACAUUUAUCAGUACGAUAGGUGUCAAGAGGAAGUGUAGUGAUGUAUGCAACUGAGGAAUCCUAACAGACCGGUAGACUUGAACCU